This 674-nucleotide ribosomal RNA is filed under the name Coxiella burnetii. RNAcentral describes it as "bacterial SSU rRNA". It matches the Rfam family "Bacterial small subunit ribosomal RNA", at positions 140 to 809 of the family's 1533-position model. Lineage: Bacteria; Pseudomonadati; Pseudomonadota; Gammaproteobacteria; Legionellales; Coxiellaceae. The record is from RNAcentral.
GGGAUAACCUGGGGAAACUCGGGCUAAUACCGCAUAAUCUCUUUGGACCAAAGAGGGGGACCCUCGCACCCCGUCCUAUAAGAUGAGCCUACACCCGAAUAGCUUGUUGGUGGGGUAAUGGCCCACCAAGGCGACGAUCCGUACCCGGUCUGAGAGGAACAUCAGCCACACUGGGACUGAGACACGGCCCAGACUCCUACGGGAGGCAGCAGUGGGGAAUAUUGGACAAUGGGGGAAACCCUGAUCCAGCAAUGCCGCGUGUGUGAACAAGGCCUUCGGGUUGUAAAGCACUUUCGGUGGGGAAGAAAUUCUCAAGGGUAAUAUCCUUGGGCGUUGACGUUACCCACAGAAGAAGCACUGGCUAACUCUGUCCCAGCAGCCGCGGUAAUACAGAGAGUGCAAGCGUUAAUCGGAAUCACUGGGCGUAAAGCGCGCGUAGGUGGAUAUUUAAGUCCGAUGUGAAAGCCCUGGGCUUAACCUGGGAAUUGCACCCGAUACUGGGUAUCUUGAGUAUGGUAGAGGGAACUGGAAUUUCCGGUGUAGCGGUGAAAUGCGUAGAUAUCGGAAAGAACACCAGUGGCGAAGGCGACUUCCUGGACCAAUACUGACACUGACGCGCGAAAGCGUGGGGAGCAAACAGGAUUAGAGACCCUGGUAGUCCACGCCGUCAACGA